This 203-nucleotide non-coding RNA is filed under the name Rhizobium sp. CECT 9324. Lineage: Bacteria; Pseudomonadati; Pseudomonadota; Alphaproteobacteria; Hyphomicrobiales; Rhizobiaceae. The record is from RNAcentral.
CUUUUAGACCUCGCUCACGGUGCCGCCGCGACAGAAUUCGUGGCGGAUAAUUUGGGAAGCCGGCGUGAUGCCGGCGCUGUCCCCGCAACGGUAACGGAACAAAAACCCGACGAAUGCCACCGGUGAUAACACCGCGAAGGCGUUGGGCAGCCCAUAAAGACAGUUCCGAAGUCCGGAAUCCAGCCCUGAGUGUUGAGCAGACC